UACGUAGGGUGCGAGCGUUGUCCGGAAUUAUUGGGCGUAAAGAGCUCGUAGGCGGUGUGUCACGUCGAUCGUGAAAACUUACAGCUUAACUGUGAGCGUGCGGUCGAUACGGGCAUCACUGGAGUUCGGCAGGGGAGACUGGAAUUCCUGGUGUAGCGGUGAAAUGCGCAGAUAUCAGGAGGAACACCGGUGGCGAAGGCGGGUCUCUGGGCCGGUACUGACGCUGAGGCGCGAAAGCGUGGGGAGCGAACAGG
Molecule: ribosomal RNA, 254 nt
Filed under: uncultured bacterium
Lineage: Bacteria
Description: partial 16S ribosomal RNA
Rfam family: Bacterial small subunit ribosomal RNA
Source: RNAcentral